Cyanistes caeruleus (blue tit) is the source of this 551-nucleotide non-coding RNA. The record is from RefSeq and is a predicted model, not a curated record. Lineage: Eukaryota; Metazoa; Chordata; Aves; Passeriformes; Paridae.
AAGUUCCAGAAGGCUCUCUGCGGGUUUGGCAGUUGACACAUCAGUUGCUGCUGGCAGUCAAAGGCUGUGCUUGCAGCCUGGUACCUCUGCACUGCUUCUUAAGGAGUGAGCAAGAGGCUCUGUGGGACCAUGCUGCUUCCUGGGGUUAAACCAGAGAAUUGCCCUUUUUCAGUUUUUACCAGACGGACUUCAAUUACCAGUUGGCAUUCAACUGCCCUGUUAAGCUGAGCAAUGAAUGAUAUCUCCUUAUAAAAAUCUGAUUAGGAAACCUGCCUUCAAAGAAUUUUCACUUACUGAGUUUUUUCACAAAAGGACACUGAGGCAACUCCUGAUUUUUUGAGUUAAAAUGGAUGGACAAGGACAGAAAGAGACAACAUUGGUAAAGGCAAAAGGAUUUGGUUCCUAGCUUGUCCACCAGAAGCAGCAGAACGAGUUACUUUGUAUAAUAUCAGGAGCCUAUUAUCCAGUAUUUGUUGCUGUUGAUCAACUGUUGAUAGAGCACAUAGAGUUUGAAUUGGUAAAUCUGUAAUUAAACAACAAAACAAAACAUG